AGCAAGGGCUUCUCUCAUGAGUGGCACACAUAGGGCAGCUUGAUUGUUCUAUGUGCAGAAUCAACAUAAAAAGAUUUUGGAAGCAUAAUUGUUUGGAAUCCAGGCAACUGGUGGUCAUUGAUCUUGGUGCCUGU
Molecule: small nuclear RNA, 134 nt
Organism: Pteronotus mesoamericanus
Lineage: Eukaryota; Metazoa; Chordata; Mammalia; Chiroptera; Mormoopidae
Product: U11 spliceosomal RNA
Exons: 1
Source: RefSeq, a predicted model, not a curated record